Molecule: ribosomal RNA, 433 nt
Filed under: uncultured bacterium
Lineage: Bacteria
Description: partial 16S ribosomal RNA
Rfam family: Bacterial small subunit ribosomal RNA
Source: RNAcentral
AACGAACGCUGGCGGCAUGCCUAACACAUGCAAGUCGAACGAGACCUUCGGGUCUAGUUGCGCACGUGCGCGUAACGCGUCGGAACCUGCCCUUAGGUUCGGUAUACCUCCCCGAAAGGGGCGCUAAUACCGGACAAUGUCUUCGGACCAAAGAUUUAUCGCCCUUGGAUGGGCCCGCGUUGGAUUAGCUAGUUGGUAGGGUAAAAGCCUGCCAAGGCGACGAUCCAUAGCGGGUCUGGGAGGAUGCUCAGCCACACUGGGACUGCGACACGGCCCAGACUCCUACGCGAGGCAGCAGUGGGGAAUAUUGAACAAUGGACGAAAGCCUGAUCCAGCAAUGCCGCGUGAGUGAUGAAGGCCUUAGGGUUGUAGAGCUCUUUUACCCGGUAUGAUAAUGACGGUACCGGGAGAAUAAGCUCCGGCUAACUCCGUG